This is an RNA transcript of Hyla sarda, 3583 nucleotides long. It is a transcript of the gene named Fc receptor-like protein 5, with no coding region annotated. The record is from RefSeq and is a predicted model, not a curated record. The transcript is spliced from 10 exons. Lineage: Eukaryota; Metazoa; Chordata; Amphibia; Anura; Hylidae.
CCUGGCUGUAGUCCCAGAUGUGUAUAUAGGGAAGGGGCUGUGACCAACACCCCAAAGAAAUAUCACAUAAACCUAGAAUAACUGUUUGCGGGCUAUCAGGCACAAAGGACUUCAUUAGAGGGCUGAAUAUUGUAAGUAACCCCAACGAUGUUUUGACUAGUCUGGACUUUAUCCCUACGCCAUGUAUAACGUGCUCCCAGCAUGUGUCUAUAUAUGGCUUUGUCUUCUAGUGGAACUCAGUUUGUAUGAAGCUGUUCUUCAGAGGCCAAAUAUCAUCUUCUCAGCCAAUUAUGCCAUAUACCUAACUGGAGAAGCAGUGUCUCUAGAAUGUCAGGCCACAGCUGACUUCACUAUACAUGGAUACAAGUUCUUCAAAAAUAAUCAAGAAGUUCAUAGGGUGGAAGCAGCCAGGCUAAACAAGUAUAAGAUAAGACCAGCGAGAAGAAAUGAUGCUGGAUCCUACACCUGUCUCUAUUGGACAUUAGAUACCAUUAGAGGAAGGCAAGAAUCCGAAAUCAGCUAUCCUGUGUCUUUGUCUGUAAUAGAUCAGCCAUCUAUGCCCACUCUCUUAAUCAGGCCAAAGGAAUCCCUGUAUGUAGAAGGAGAAAUGGUGACUUUGGAAUGUGAACAUCCAAGUGUAAAUGCUCAGAUCACUUAUCGUUUUUACAAGGAUAAAAGCAACCUGCUCCCUUACCAAGAUACAUCAAUAUCUGAGCACCAUAUUUCCAGCUUGAGUACCAAGGAUUCUGGAACCUAUGACUGCGAAUACUUGAUCUUUGGACACCAGAGAAUAAUCUCAUCGGGCAGAAGCAAGCAACAAACUAUAACUGUUACAGCUUGGUCUACCUCCCCAAUUUUAAAGUUCCUGCCUUAUUUCUCAACGUUUAUAAAUGGAGAAAAUGUAACCAUGGAAUGUGAAGCUCCAUCACCUGUUUAUGUUACCAUGUACCGCUUCUACAAGGAGGAAAUUGAAUUGAAAGAGCCAUCAUUAAACAAAGGAAUAUUUUCAUUGCACAACUUAACAAAAGCAAAUCAAGCGGAAUAUACUUGUAUGUACUGGAGUUCAAUGAGUAACAGAGAGAUCCCAUCCACUCAGAGUCUUCCAAAAGAGAUUUAUGUAAUUGAUCCUUUGCGCCCCCCCUUCUUGUUUUCGGAUCCUCCUAGUGGUAGAAUCUGGGAUGGAGGCAAUGUUACUCUAUACUGUAGAGCCCCUGAAGUGUAUGAAAGAACUACAUUCCACUUUCUCAAAAAUAGAGAUGAGAUAAUAAGUGUAUCCACAUACAAACAAUUAUCAGCAGCACUAACCGUCAACAUGAAGAAAUCCAAUAGCACUUCCUCUACCAAAUACAUCUGUCAGUACACAGCAGAGAUUAAGGGGCGUUCAUUGCUGUCACCUAAGAGCACAGAAGUUGAGAUCAUGGUGGUGGCACCGGGAUCUCUACUGUGGUUGAUAGCUAUUGGAGUUGGUGCUGGUAUAGCUGUGUUGAUUGUAAUUGUUGGUUUACUCUACUGGGCUCUGUUGCCCAUGAAAGAUAAAGAGAAAGAGGCUGAAGAGUCAAAGCCAAUUCAUGAAGAUAUCUGAUAUAAAUUUUUACAGCACCUUCCUAUCCCGAGACUUGCCUGAAACUACAGCAAUCACGAUUUGGCAGAAGUCCCAUGGGGCUACAUGACUGAGAAGAAAGGGGGACAUUUCCGGUGAUAGCAGGGUGGAUGCAAAGUCACUUCUCUGUAACCUUAUAGAAGUAUGAAAACGUCUUGAGGUUUGAAGAUUGAACACUGAGAAAAAAGCUACUUAUUUCAUCACAGUUCAUAAUCCAGUUUACCAAUAUGUAUUGGGACACAAAUGAUGUGGCUGUGGGUUCCUGUCUUGAUGGACUUUAUCUCAUGUAAAACCUCUCUACCUCUGAGAAGCAAACCACUGAAGUCACUUCUGUACUUGUAAGGAACUUUAUACGAAACCGACCUGGUCACUUGUAUCUAAAACUAGUCAAGCUUCUGGAACACUUUAAUAGUAUUAUAUUUUACAUAAAAUCCUAUAUGAAAAACAUCUGACUCGGGUUAUAUAAAUCAUUAUGGUGAUUUCAAAGUCCCUAUGGAUUGAAGUAUUUUUAUAAUCUAUAAUGCAAUAAUCAGGCCUAUAUAAUAUUUACACACUGAAGUAGGAACAGCUGGUGCCUGACCAAUAACAUGAUACCAUGUGGUGCCACGUCAUGAAUGGCUCACAGAUAAUGUGUUGGCCUCUCCUGUGCACCGAAGAAGUCUACAUUUUCCAUGGGUAAAUGUGGUGACUUCUGUGACUUUGACUGGGGUCAGAUUGUUGGGCGUAGAGGUGUGGUGCCAGUAUUUCUGAAACAGCAGCACAUGUACCAAUGAACAGACAGAAGAUCACACAGGGGCAGGCCUUGUCCUGUUUAUCCAAGAGGCAAGCAUCGGUUGGCAUGUUUAGUAUUUCAGCACUGACAUACCACACUUGACCAACUGACUCAGUAGUAUAACAGUGGACAAGUUGACAAAUUAAUACAAAAACCAUGCAGAGUAUGUUGCAUAAACUAGGGAUUAACAGCCAACAACUGAGAAAAGUGUUCCUAAAGACCCCUAACCAUCACAUAUAGCACCUCACAUAUGCCCAGGAAAUACUUCUAUGUAUUAUGGACACAUGGCAGUAGGCCAUCUGGAGUGACAAAUCCUAUUUCCUGCUUAACCAUAUGGAUGGCUGGGUCUGGUGUAACACAAUAAAGUUGUAUACCAUGAGUGCACAAUUGGAGUCUAACAGGCUGGAGGUGGCAGUGUCAUGGUCUGGGGAGUGAUUUCCUAGCCUACCCCAGGACAGCUGGUCAUCAUACCACAAUUCUUAAAUGGUGAACACUAUAGGGACCUGUUAGGCGACAAUAUGCACCAAUAUCUUUAGGAGGUCUUUCCUCACCACAGUAUCAUUGCCAUCUUUCUACAGGAGAAUGCUACAUGACAUUGGGCUCAGAUCACCAGGGAGUGGUUGGAGGAACUUGGCAAUGAUUUCACUAUACUACCUUGGCCCACAAACUCAACGUACUUUAACAUGUUUGUGUUAUGCUGGAAAUGGGUUGUGAGAUCUGCUUCCACUACUCAAAAAAUGUGGAGGGGAACAUCGGCCACAACAAUGGCAACCUCAUUGAAAUUGCUUUUGUACAGGUUCUUUGACACCCCACACCUCUUACAACCAUUGUUUUAAUACAAAUUAGGUUAAAUACAUUUAAACCAUUCUUAUACGUUCCUAUGGCAAGUGCCUGUGAUUUCAUCAGAUGACUACUAAAAAUCAUAAUGCAUAGAUAGUGGUUUAGUUUUACCAAUCUGUCUGAGACAAAAAUGGGUCAGAUGGAUAGCAAACGAUCAUAGCUCAGCUUUCAUCUCUCAUGUUGGAGUCAAAAAUCAUUGCCCCAUUGACCUCUGAAGAUGUCACAUAUUGUGACGAAACAUGUUAGGUUUGUUGCAGAUUUGUUGCUUUGUUGUAGAUUUUCAGCAUUACCACCGUAAACCUGGGCAUGCACUCCAGGUAUGCCCAGGGAUUGAAGUGCAAUUAUGAAUGCUGGGUAGCAAUAAACAAUAU